RNAcentral lists this long non-coding RNA (225 nucleotides) under Vigna radiata. RNAcentral describes it as "long non-coding RNA (VRAD_LNC005520)". The record is from RNAcentral. Lineage: Eukaryota; Viridiplantae; Streptophyta; Magnoliopsida; Fabales; Fabaceae.
GCCAUGAUAGAGGGAUGGAUCCCUGGCAUGUCAGCGGCCGUCCAUGCGAAAAGAUCCCGGUUACGCCAAAGGGCAGCCCGGAGCUGCCUCUCCAUCUCUUCCUCCAGCCCUUGGGCUAUGAAGGUGACCUGAUCGAGGUUCUUUCCCACUAUCAUUGAUUGGGUUUCUCCCUGCGGUUCGAGGCGGUCCUCGGUGUUGGUACGGGGGUCUAGGUCGGCCAUCGCG